AGGGAACCGGUGGUCGACGGGAUCCAGCGGAUGCCAGCCGCGCAAGAGGGAUCUAGCUCAAGGGAGCCGAUGAGACGCGUGCGGGGCAACCGGCGGUCCGGGGGAUCCAGCCAAGGCGAGGCGUCUGAGGGGAUCCGGCGCUCGAGCGGCUGCCUCCAGGGUAUGGACAGGUGCAAACUGUUCUUGUGUACACAUCAGUCAGCUAUUCACAUAUAAGAAAUCAUUUCGUUAAAAGGUGCACGCAUCCCAAGCGAACACGGAGUGAAAAACUGGGAGGAGAAUAUAGACGCAUCUUAGCCAGUUGGCUCGUGUUUGGGGAUCAGUGCAAGUUUAAUCGGAAUGAUUUUCAAUGUCUCAAUACAGCAGCCGUGAGCACCAGUUCAGUACACGUUGGAAGAAGGUUUGGAGAGACCGACCCCAUGUGUCAACUACAGUAUGUUCGACGAAAUGUGGAGCGUGGUUUUAAAUGGAGAUUCUUGGUAUCACGUGUCAGGACGUAAGUCACUAGGAAAGGAAAAGGGUGACGAGUUAACAGCUUCCUGUGCAACGGAAGCGUGAAAUGAUGUCGUGAAAUCUCACGAUUAGCCUGUUGCGAUUCAAGAUUAGAGAAGUGACAGUAUGUAUCUUUCUAAUGAAUGAAUAAAAAGGAAUUCCGCUCAGCGUAUUAUUCUGUGUUUUUAUGUCACGCAUAGUAGUUAAUCAAAUGAUGUGUUAAUUUGAGAAAUGAUUUGCAUGGACAACAAGCUUUCUUCAACGAGUCAACGUAGGCCGAUGAAAACUCGUGGAGUACACGGCUAUUCUCAAAAAUGGGACAUGGAGUUGAGUUGCAUAUCAGAUCAACGUACCACAUGCAUGGUAAAGUUGUGCGCUGAGGGUCCCACAUGCAUGCAUGCAAUUUCUGAACACAAGUUACUCCUAAUUCAUUAAUGCUUUGCGUGUCUGGGAUAGAUAUGUCAACAUGAUGAUCCCGUCGUUGAUGAUGAACAUGUCACUCCCACUCCAAAUCAGCCUAUUGUUCACCCAGUUGGAAUCUCGCACGUGACAGAGUUAGGCGGGGGAUUAAUAAACCCGACAGGUUAAUUGAAGAGUGCAAUAUUGUUUCUUUUGCUUUAUCUGUUGCAGAAGAAAUUGAAGGUAAUGCUGAGCCUUUUUCGUAUUCCGAGGCUAUUAUUUCUGGUGAUAGUAAUAAGUGGAUGACCGCUAUGCAUGAUGAGAUGGAAUCACUUGAAAAGAAUGGCACUUGGGAUUUAGUAAGAUUACCUAGAGAGAAGAAACCUAUUCAUUGCAAGUGGGUUUUCAAGAGGAAAGAAGGUGUUUCUCCUAAUGAUGAGACAAGAUAUAAAGCAAGGUUAGUUGCUAAAGGUUACAGUCAGAUUCCAGGUAUUGACUAUAACGAAGUAUUUUCUCCUGUUGUGAAGCAUAGCUCUAUUCGCACUUUAUUUAGUAUUGUUGCCAUGCAUGAUUUUGAGCUUGAAUAAUUGGAUGUUAAAACUGCAUUUUUACAUGGAGAAUUAGAAGAGGAUAUUUAUAUGGAACAACCUGAAGGUUUUGUUAUUCCUGGAAAAGAAAAGCUUGUCUGUAAGUUAAAGAAAUCUCUUUAUGGAUUGAAGCAAUCCCUAAGACAGUGAUACAAGAGAUUUGACAACUUUAUGCUCUCUCAAGGUUUCAAAAGGUCUAAUUAUGAUAGUUGUGUUUAUUUGAAAACUGUCAAUGGUUCAACUAUUUAUUUGCUCCUUUAUGUUGAUGAUAUGCUAAUUGCUGCAAAGUGUAUGUCAGAGAUUAAUGACCUAAAGAAGCAAUUGAGUAAUGAAUUUGAGAUGAAGGAUUUGGGUGCAGCAAAGACAAUACUUGGCAUGGAAAUAUCCAGAGAUAGACCAUCUGGAAAAGUAUAUCUAAGUCAGAAGGGAUAUAUUGAUAAAGUUCUUCGUCGUUUUAAUAUGCAUAAUGCCAAGCCGGUAAGUACCCCGUUAGCUACACACUUCAAAUUAUCAUCAGCUUUAUGUCCUAAGUCAGAUGCCGAUAUUGAGUACAUGUCUAGAGUUCCCUAUUCAAGUGUAGUUGGUUCACUUAUGUAUGCCAUGGUUUUUUCUCGUCCGGAUUUAUCAUAUGCUUUGAGUGUUGUCAGUAGAUACAGGGCUAAUCCUGGAAAGGAGCAUUGGAAAGCAGUUUAG
This 2171-nucleotide ribosomal RNA is filed under the name Triticum aestivum (bread wheat). RNAcentral describes it as "partial small subunit ribosomal RNA". The record is from RNAcentral. Lineage: Eukaryota; Viridiplantae; Streptophyta; Magnoliopsida; Poales; Poaceae.